Molecule: small RNA, 742 nt
Filed under: Pan troglodytes (chimpanzee)
Lineage: Eukaryota; Metazoa; Chordata; Mammalia; Primates; Hominidae
Description: retained intron
Source: RNAcentral
UCUCCCCUCAGCUGUGGAAAGUGAAGAAGGCAUUGAAGAUGACUAUUCUUUGGAGAGGCCUGAUGCCCGAAUUUCAGUUUGGCACUUACAGCGAAUCUGAGAGGAAAACCGAGGAGUACGAUACUCAGGCCAUGAAGUACUUGUCAUACCUGCUGUACCCUCUCUGUGUCGGGGGUGCUGUCUAUUCACUCCUGAAUAUCAAAUAUAAGAGCUGGUACUCCUGGUUAAUCAACAGCUUCGUCAACGGGGUCUAUGCCUUUGGUUUCCUCUUCAUGCUGCCCCAGCUCUUUGUGAACUACAAGUUGAAGUCAGUGGCACAUCUGCCCUGGAAGGCCUUCACCUACAAGGCUUUCAACACCUUCAUUGAUGACGUCUUUGCCUUCAUCAUCACCAUGCCCACGUCUCACCGGCUGGCCUGCUUCCGGGACGACGUGGUGUUUCUGGUCUACCUGUACCAGCGGUGGCUUUAUCCUGUGGAUAAACGCAGAGUGAACGAGUUUGGGGAGUCCUACGAGGAGAAGGCCACGCGGGCGCCCCACACGGACUGAAGGCCGCCCGGGCUGCCGCCAGCCAAGUGCAACUUGAAUUGUCAAUGAGUAUUUUUGGAAGCAUUUGGAGGAACUCCUAGACAUUGCGUUUUCUGUGUUGCCAAAAUCCCUUCGGACAUUUCUCAGACAUCUCCCAAGUUCCCAUCACGUCAGAUUUGGAGCUGGUAGCGCUUACGAUGCCCCCACGUGUGAAC